UUUUAUUCAAGUCUGCGAGUG
This 21-nucleotide non-coding RNA is filed under the name Caenorhabditis elegans. The record is from RNAcentral. Lineage: Eukaryota; Metazoa; Nematoda; Chromadorea; Rhabditida; Rhabditidae.